CCGCGCCGUCGCGGGCCGGCUCGGCAUCCGCUCGACAGCGCCCGUCGAUGCACUGAGCUCCGAGCUCGCCGGCUCGUUCGACGUGGUCGUCCUGGUCGGCGCCGAUCGCAGUUGAGGGGCCACGAGAUGGCAGUCCGCAGGGCGAGGAACAAAGCGGUGGGGACCACCAGGUAGGCCCGCUCGGGUGAGCCUGAACCGAUCCGCGCUCGCCCAUCAGGCGUUUGUCGCGCCACUCGUGUUCGCGCUUCUGGUCGCCGCCACGAUCGCUGCGUUCUUCAUCGAUGCUUACGU
Molecule: unclassified non-coding RNA, 291 nt
Filed under: uncultured fungus
Lineage: Eukaryota; Fungi
Description: sequence contains ITS1
Source: RNAcentral